GUAGGUGGCAAGCGUUGUCCGGAAUUAUUGGGCGUAAAGCGCGCGCAGGCGGUUCUUUAAGUCUGAUGUGAAAGCCCACGGCUCAACCGUGGAGGGUCAUUGGAAACUGGGGAACUUGAGUACAGAAGAGGAAAGCGGAAUUCCACGUGUAGCGGUGAAAUGCGUAGAGAUGUGGAGGAACACCAGUGGCGAAGGCGGCUUUCUGGUCUGUAGCUGACGCUGAGGCGCGAAAGCGUGGGGAGCAAACAGGGGGUUAGAUACCCUGGUAGUCCACGCCGUAAACGAUGAGUGCUAAGUGUUAGGGGGUUUCCCGCCCCCUUAGUGCUGCAGCUAACGCAUUAAGCACUCCGCCUGGGGAGUACGGCCGCAAGGCUG
RNAcentral lists this ribosomal RNA (375 nucleotides) under uncultured organism. RNAcentral's name for it is "partial 16S ribosomal RNA". It matches the Rfam family "Bacterial small subunit ribosomal RNA", at positions 527 to 896 of the family's 1533-position model. The record is from RNAcentral.